RNAcentral lists this small RNA (28 nucleotides) under Bombyx mori (domestic silkworm). RNAcentral's name for it is "ovarian small RNA-18809". Lineage: Eukaryota; Metazoa; Arthropoda; Insecta; Lepidoptera; Bombycidae. The record is from RNAcentral.
UAACGAGUACGUGUUGCUAAGUGCACUA